GAACUCAGAAAUGGUCAAGUUGGACCUUC
RNAcentral lists this non-coding RNA (29 nucleotides) under Mus musculus (house mouse). The record is from RNAcentral. Lineage: Eukaryota; Metazoa; Chordata; Mammalia; Rodentia; Muridae.